This 366-nucleotide non-coding RNA is filed under the name Salmo salar (Atlantic salmon). Its description in RNAcentral is "Eukaryotic large subunit ribosomal RNA". It matches the Rfam family "Eukaryotic large subunit ribosomal RNA", at positions 1564 to 1864 of the family's 3401-position model. The record is from Rfam by way of RNAcentral. Lineage: Eukaryota; Metazoa; Chordata; Actinopteri; Salmoniformes; Salmonidae.
CGUUUUCAUCUCACACGAUUUUACAUGAAUUUUUCAAACUUUCGAAUUUCAAUAGCUCCUUGGUAAUGUGACCAACCUACCUCAAACAACUUUCAGAAUAUCCACGGAGUGGCGGUCACGGGCUCAUGAGGCAUCCAGUGCGGUAACGUGACCGAUCCCGGAGAAGCUGGCGGGAGCCCACGGGGAGAGUUCUCUUUUCUUUGUGAAGGGCAGGGCGCCAUGGAAUGGGUUCGCCCCGAGAGAGGGGCCCAAGCCCUGGAAAGCGUUGCGAUUUCAGUGGCAUCUGGUGAGUUCUCCCUGGCCCUUGAAAAUCCGGGGGAGAGGGUUUAAAUCUCACGCCGGGCCGUACCCAUAUCCGCAGCAGGU